Molecule: ribosomal RNA, 280 nt
Filed under: uncultured cyanobacterium
Lineage: Bacteria; Bacillati; Cyanobacteriota
Description: partial 16S ribosomal RNA
Rfam family: Bacterial small subunit ribosomal RNA
Source: RNAcentral
CCUACGGGAGGCAGCAGUGGGGAAUUUUCCGCAAUGGGCGAAAGCCUGACGGAGCAACGCCGCGUGAGGGAUGAAGGCCUCUGGGCUGUAAACCUCUUUUCUCAAGGAAGAAGAUCUGACGGUACUUGAGGAAUAAGCCACGGCUAAUUCCGUGCCAGCAGCCGCGGUAAUACGGGAGUGGCAAGCGUUAUCCGGAAUUAUUGGGCGUAAAGCGUCCGCAGGCGGUUCUGUAAGUCUGCCGUUAAAGCGUGGAGCUCAACUCCAUUUCGGCGGUGGAAAC